This 492-nucleotide ribosomal RNA is filed under the name uncultured bacterium. Its description in RNAcentral is "partial 16S ribosomal RNA". It matches the Rfam family "Bacterial small subunit ribosomal RNA", at positions 29 to 507 of the family's 1533-position model. The record is from RNAcentral.
AGUGAACGCUGGCGGUAGGCCUAACACAUGCAGGUCGAACGGCAGCACAGUAAGAGCUUGCUCUUACGGGUGGCGAGUGGCGGACGGGUGAGGAAUACAUCGGAAUCUACUUUUUCGUGGGGGAUAACGUAGGGAAACUUACGCUAAUACCGCAUACGACCUACGGGUGAAAGCAGGGGAUCUUCGGACCUUGCGCGAUUGAAUGAGCCGAUGUCGGAUUAGCUAGUUGGCGGGGUAAAGGCCCACCAAGGCGACGAUCCGUAGCUGGUCUGAGAGGAUGAUCAGCCACACUGGAACUGAGACACGGUCCAGACUCCUACGGGAGGCAGCAGUGGGGAAUAUUGGACAAUGGGCGCAAGCCUGAUCCAGCCAUACCGCGUGGGUGAAGAAGGCCUUCGGGUUGUAAAGCCCUUUUGUUGGGAAAGAAAAGCAGCAGGUUAAUACCCCGCUGUUCUGACGGUACCCAAAGAAUAAGCACCGGCUAACUUCGCG